Molecule: unclassified non-coding RNA, 401 nt
Filed under: Hevea brasiliensis (rubber tree)
Lineage: Eukaryota; Viridiplantae; Streptophyta; Magnoliopsida; Malpighiales; Euphorbiaceae
Source: RNAcentral
UAAGUAGCAAAGGACACAAAUAUUAACAGCAAAAUCAAAAUUAGAAUGUUGCAUUAAUAGAAGUCCAUGUCUACACAGAGACAUACAUUCAAUUUAUGGUGCAGUAAACUUUUAUUUUACCAACAAUCAAAGCUGGUAGGAAAACAUUGAGUAUUGGUCUAAGCACAAGAAGUAUGUUUCAAUACCAUAUAACCUUAACUAUAGACACAUUGAAAGUUUUUACAGCAUCAUUUUCCCAAUAUAUAGGGUAAACUAACUUGUCUGAUUUUCUUUAGAGUAAAUUUAGGGAAUAAGGAAGUGGUACCAUAAAAUAGACACAAAGCUAAUAAGGGUAUGCAACAUUACCUUCUGAUCAAAACGAGUAUCCAGAUGUGCCCAAUGGUAAUCAUAUCCGAAGCUUA